UUCUCCGUGUGAAGGGCUUCCCGCAACAAAAGAAAUUGCACUAUCCAAACUGGACUCAAACUGUUUGGGGGCAAAGGAUGGGUGUCCACGGCUCCUCAUCCGCGUGGGCUCGACGGUGACCUGCACAGCUUUCUGCUUUGUCCCUUUCUUGUUCUUUUCGAGAAAACCACAUAUUGUGACAGUUUUCUCAAGACAUCAUUUUUCUAAUUUGUCCGCAAAAUAAUAAGCUUUGUGUCUAAUUGUUUCACAUCAUCCAAAAUAACGAUUUAAGUGAUUUUGACAGUAUUUCUUACAAGUGGAUCCCAUUUUGUCACGUGCCAUGUCUUUUUCAUCAUUUUUCCUUUUUUCCUCGUCUCUUCGUCUUUUUUUUUUCUGAGUACAUCUCUUCGUCGUCUGCAACGCUGGCAAAGAGCACACCAGCCGCCAGAGGCGAGAUCGGCCGGGAGCGAGCCGUCGUCAGUGUCGGCGUGGCCGCCGCGUCACUCGGUGCUGCCUGCCGCCCCGCCGCCCGCUGGUCCGCGGCCAAGAAGGUCAGGAACUCAUGAUUCCAUCACGUUCAUGCCAAACAGGUUGACGUUGCUUCAGUGCGUGCUGCUCAGCGCCAUCAGUUUGUCUUCUGCUACUAACCAUGCCCAAAUUAAUUGAAUUUGGGCCAUGAGAGGCAUGUUGAAGCAAUUGCACAUCGAGCCAAGACGGCAUCAAUUUGACACACACACACAACAACAACAACAAAAUCGCAGCAAUCUGACCCCUGCACCCGCAUGGCGGCCGGCGAUGCCGCCAGCGCUCGGCCACAACUCUCUCGUGCCUGCUGCCAGUGCGGACCCCACGUAAGAAAUACCGUUAAAAUCGUGUAAGCAUUUAUUUUGGCCGAGGUGAGACAAUUUGACACAAAACUGUGGUUUCGGACAAAUUAGCAAAAGUGGGGCUCAGUGAGAAACUGCCUCAAAACCUAUGAUUUCUUAAAAUUUAGCA
RNAcentral lists this long non-coding RNA (975 nucleotides) under Brachypodium distachyon (stiff brome). Its description in RNAcentral is "long non-coding RNA (BDIS_LNC003476)". The record is from RNAcentral. Lineage: Eukaryota; Viridiplantae; Streptophyta; Magnoliopsida; Poales; Poaceae.